RNAcentral lists this ribosomal RNA (54 nucleotides) under Moesziomyces aphidis. Its description in RNAcentral is "partial 18S ribosomal RNA". It matches the Rfam family "Eukaryotic small subunit ribosomal RNA", at positions 1778 to 1831 of the family's 1831-position model. Lineage: Eukaryota; Fungi; Basidiomycota; Ustilaginomycetes; Ustilaginales; Ustilaginaceae. RNAcentral also lists the same sequence under 1 other name. The record is from RNAcentral.
GGAAGUAAAAGUCGUAACAAGGUAUCUGUAGGUGAACCUGCAGAUGGAUCAUUU